UACGGGGGGGGCAAGCGUUGUUCGGAAUUACUGGGCGUAAAGGGCUCGUAGGCGGCCAACUAAGUCAGGCGUGAAAUCCCUCAGCUUAACUGGGGAACUGCGUCUGAUACUGGAUGGCUUGGAUCCGGGAGAGGGUCGUGGAAUUCCCGGUGUAGCGGUGAAACGCGUAGAGAUCGGGAGGAACACCAGAGGCGAAGGCGGCGACCUGGACAGUGACUGACACUCAACUACGAAAGCGUGGGGAGCAAACAGG
RNAcentral lists this ribosomal RNA (253 nucleotides) under uncultured bacterium. Its description in RNAcentral is "partial 16S ribosomal RNA". It matches the Rfam family "Bacterial small subunit ribosomal RNA", at positions 524 to 776 of the family's 1533-position model. The record is from RNAcentral.